Molecule: ribosomal RNA, 459 nt
Filed under: uncultured bacterium
Lineage: Bacteria
Description: partial 16S ribosomal RNA
Rfam family: Bacterial small subunit ribosomal RNA
Source: RNAcentral
CCUACGGGGAGGCAGCAGUGAGGAAUAUUGGUCAAUGGCCGGAAGGCUGAACCAGCCCUGCCGCGUGAAGGUCAGUGCCCUCUGGGCGUUAAACUUCUUUUGCGCGGGAGCAAUAAUGGUCACGUGUGGCCAGACGAGAGUACCGUACGAAAAAGCAUCGGCUAACCCCGUGCCAGCAGCCGCGGUAAUAUGGUGGAUGCGAGCGUUAUACGGAUUUAUUGGGUUAAAAGUGUGCGCAGGGGGAAGAUCAAGUCAGCGGUAAAAUUGAGAGGCUAAACCUCUUCGAGCCGUUGAAACUGGUUAUCUUGAGUGAGCGAGAGGUAAGCGGAAGGCGUGGUGUAGCGGUGAAAUGCAUAGAUAUCACGAGGAACACCGGUUGCGAAGGCAGCAUACCGGCGCUCAACUGACGCUGAUGCACGAAAGUGUGGGUAUCGAACAGGAUUAGAUACCCUGGUAGUC